UACAGAGGUCCCAAGCGUUGUUCGGAUUCACUGGGCGUAAAGGGUGCGUAGGUGGUCGGGUAAGUUUGAUGUGAAAUCUCCGGGCUUAACCCGGAAACUGCAUUGAAUACUAUUCGGCUAGAGGGUUGGAGGGGAGACUGGAAUACUUGGUGUAGCAGUGAAAUGCGUAGAUAUCGUAAGGAAGACCAGUGGCGAAGGCGGGUCUCUGGACAGUUCCUGACACUGAGACACGAAGGCCAGGGGAGCAAACGGG
RNAcentral lists this ribosomal RNA (253 nucleotides) under uncultured bacterium. RNAcentral describes it as "partial 16S ribosomal RNA". It matches the Rfam family "Bacterial small subunit ribosomal RNA", at positions 524 to 776 of the family's 1533-position model. The record is from RNAcentral.